CCCUGGCCACCUCCAGCGCCAGACCUCCUGCCGCCUCCAGUGCCCACCUCCAGAACCCUCCUCCAGCAACUGAUCUCCAGCACCCGGCCGUUUGGGAGGCAGGCAGAGCUCUCACUGCCAUCCUCACUGUGCCGCCGCAUAGCAGCAGCAGUAAAAAUUUGCCAGCCAUGAGGCUUUCCCAGAAAGGAACCCUCGCAGUUGGCGAAGGACAACUGUAUUCUUUUAUUUAAAGUGUUGUUUUCUGAACUGAAUAUCUGAUAUAAUAGAGAAGUGUUCGAGUCUUGCCCUCUGCAGCAACUGAGAAUAAGAGGAAGAAGCAGAGCUUGAGGAAUAUGAAAGCUGCACCAGGCAUGGAAUUGUCAAGGCCCUCCUUCCUGCUGCAUCUCCGAUGUGUGCUACUGCUGCCCCCUGGAGGCUGCCCUAUGAAGAGAAUCAGCUUGGAUAUUAUUAGCAGGAACACUGAAGGAGAUACCUGUUUUCUAGACUGGUCUAUGUGAAUGCAUGGGGAUAUUCAGGUGAAUAUUCAGUGAAUCCAGGGGGAUAUUUAUUCAGGACACAUCCCUAGAUAUCUGACAGCUUUGCUUUGUACUGUUACACAGAAGGUGAUACCUGAACAGACGGUACCAUUUCUCCCCUUCCAUUUUGCAGCAAAUCGGAGCUUUGUUCUGUACAUAUGAAGCUCCUUUAUAUCAGGUCAGACUAUUGGUUCAUGUGGCCUCAUAGUUUUGUCCACUUCAGCUGCCAAAAGCUCUCCAGGGUCUCUGUCAGAGAUCUUUCCCAGCCCAGCUACCUCUUUACCUUUUAACUAGAGAUUUCAAAGAUCAACCUGAGUCAUGCAAAGGAUGUUCUUUGUCACUGAGUUCUGUGGCCCAUUCUUUUUCAGAUGUGAUUUCUGAAAAACACUUAAGAAAGUCCCUGUUGAAAAACUGGGUUAUAUAUUUUAUGAUGUUCACAAUCAGUCUGGAGUUUCACAGCUUCACGGUCACAGGCCAGCUGUCUCAUGGAUGCCUAGAUUUGAGCCUUAGUCUUGAAUUGUCUCUCAACAAAUUCUGCAUAAUCAUUAAUAGCUUUAAUAGCUUAUGUUGAGUUUGAAUUUCUUGCACUGAUA
This is a long non-coding RNA of Hemicordylus capensis (graceful crag lizard), 1108 nucleotides long. RefSeq lists it as uncharacterized. The transcript is spliced from 4 exons. Lineage: Eukaryota; Metazoa; Chordata; Lepidosauria; Squamata; Cordylidae. The record is from RefSeq and is a predicted model, not a curated record.